UACGAACUGUGCGAACGUUAUUCGGAAUCACUGGGCUUACAGGGUGCGUAGGCGGCUUGUUAAGUAGGGUGUGAAAGCCCCCGGCUCAACCGGGGAAUUGCGCCCUAAACUGGCGAGCUGGAGUGAGAUAGGGGUAUGUGGAACUUCCGGUGGAGCGGUGAAAUGUGUUGAUAUCGGAAGGAACGCCGGUGGCGAAAGCGACAUACUGGAUCUUGUCUGACGCUGAGGCACGAAAGCCAGGGGAGCGAACGGG
This 253-nucleotide ribosomal RNA is filed under the name uncultured bacterium. RNAcentral's name for it is "partial 16S ribosomal RNA". It matches the Rfam family "Bacterial small subunit ribosomal RNA", at positions 524 to 776 of the family's 1533-position model. The record is from RNAcentral.